RNAcentral lists this long non-coding RNA (917 nucleotides) under Anas platyrhynchos (mallard). Its description in RNAcentral is "lncRNA (ENSAPLG00020013729.1)". The record is from RNAcentral. Lineage: Eukaryota; Metazoa; Chordata; Aves; Anseriformes; Anatidae.
AUGAAGACUCUCUCCUCUUUUUCGCAGAAAGUACUAACCUUCCUGACGAUCACGUCUUUUCUAGGAGAAAUAACAGGCGAAACUUUCUUUCAUCGACAAGAACAUGGAAAUCCUGCACUUCAGUGCCAUCAGCAAGCUGCUAAAGGAAAAGCAGAAAUAGCUUGGUAUAUAGCAGAUGACGAUCUGCAGCAAUUUAAGUUCAUUAACUGCUCUUCCAAGGAGCCUCGUUCCUCAUGUGGAGAAAGAGGGGGACCUUCAGGCUGCAAUGACACCUUACAAGUGACCCACAUACCCCCUGGGGGAGGGCUGUUUGCAUGUGGAGCAGUUCCUAGUGACAGAACACCAGCAACUUGCCCGCUGUUUCGCAAUGUCUCUCACUGCAGGCACUACAAUUUCUUUCUUACACAGAAAAUUUACCCCACACAAGAUAUACAGUGGUAUAUCGCCUCUGGAGCUAUAGCUGGGAUUAUUUUUCUCUGUGUCGUAUCAUGGCUAACCUAUCUCAAGACAGCUAAAUCAAAAGGAAAAAAAUCACCCACAGAAUUUAACAGAUAUUAUGAUGUUGUUGGAAUGCCAGAAGAUGAAUGUUCUCCAUAUGCAACAAGUUGUGUCAGUGACAUGCAAAGAAGUGAGUACAUUUAUUGCCAUGUAGCGGGGACUUACGCAAAAGUCUCUGCCACAGAUAACAACAAGGCUUCUGGGACAGGACUGGAAGACAUACAUACAGUAUAUGCAUAUGCUGGUAAAUAAAUAAGUUUCAGCUACAUCAAGAUUGGAAUUUGGAAGUUUUUUUUUUUUUUUUUUUUUUUUGCAAAACACAUGGCAGACUGAAUAACAUCCUGGCUAGAUGUGUACUAGCUUUAUCACUAGAAUGUAUACAAUACAUUUCCGAUACGUGAAUCACCAAAUAAAAUGUG